Galdieria partita is the source of this 74-nucleotide non-coding RNA. The record is from the annotation of a GenBank genome assembly. NCBI's taxonomy places the organism in Eukaryota, Rhodophyta, Bangiophyceae, Galdieriales, Galdieriaceae.
AGCGGAGAAGAGGAAGGGAAAAGCUCAUCAGACUCAUGAUCUGAAGGAAGUAGGUUCGAGUCCUACCUCCGCAA